RNAcentral lists this ribosomal RNA (947 nucleotides) under Glutamicibacter nicotianae. RNAcentral describes it as "bacterial SSU rRNA". It matches the Rfam family "Bacterial small subunit ribosomal RNA", at positions 81 to 1041 of the family's 1533-position model. The record is from RNAcentral. Lineage: Bacteria; Bacillati; Actinomycetota; Actinomycetes; Micrococcales; Micrococcaceae.
UGCAGGGUGGAUUAGUGGCGAACGGGUGAGUAACACGUGAGUAACCUGCCCCUGACUCUGGGAUAAGCCCGGGAAACUGGGUCUAAUACCGGAUAUGACUUCCUACUGCAUGGUGGGUUGUUGAAAGAUUUAUCGGUGGGGGAUGGACUCGCGGCCUAUCAGCUUGUUGGUGAGGUAAUGGCUCACCAAGGCGACGACGGGUAGCCGGCCUGAGAGGGUGACCGGCCACACUGGGACUGAGACACGGCCCAGACUCCUACGGGAGGCAGCAGUGGGGAAUAUUGCACAAUGGGCGGAAGCCUGAUGCAGCGACGCCGCGUGAGGGAUGACGGCCUUCGGGUUGUAAACCUCUUUCAGUAGGGAAGAAGCGAAAGUGACGGUACCUGCAGAAGAAGCGCCGGCUAACUACGUGCCAGCAGCCGCGGUAAUACGUAGGGCGCAAGCGUUAUCCGGAUUUAUUGGGCGUAAAGAGCUCGUAGGCGGUUUGUCGCGUCUGCCGUGAAAGUCCGAGGCUCAACCUCGGAUCUGCGGUGGGUACGGGCAGACUAGAGUGAUGUAGGGGAGACUGGAAUUCCUGGUGUAGCGGUGAAAUGCGCAGAUAUCAGGAGGAACACCGAUGGCGAAGGCAGGUCUCUGGGCAUUUACUGACGCUGAGGAGCGAAAGCAUGGGGAGCGAACAGGAUUAGAUACCCUGGUAGUCCAUGCCGUAAACGUUGGGCACUAGGUGUGGGGGACAUUCCACGUUUUCCGCGCCGUAGCUAACGCAUUAAGUGCCCCGCCUGGGGAGUACGGCCGCAAGGCUAAAACUCAAAGGAAUUGACGGGGGCCCGCACAAGCGGCGGAGCAUGCGGAUUAAUUCGAUGCAACGCGAAGAACCUUACCAAGGCUUGACAUGUGCCAGACCGCUCCAGAGAUGGGGUUUCCCUUCGGGGCUGGUUCACAGGUGG